AUGAACGUGCACAAGGAAAGAUAAUAGCACAAGAAAUCCAAAACCAAGAGGACAUCACAAUCAACAUUGAAGAUGAUGAUUCAUUUCUGGAAUUACCAAAAAAGAAGAUCAAGGUGGAAAAGGAUUGAUCAAAGGCCAACAAAAAAUAAACAUUAAUGUUUUUUAUUUUUAAUUACAUUUACAAAUUUGUUAAAGGAUUUUACAUGUGCUUUUCAUAGGCUUUUUAACUUUAUUAAUUGAUGAGUUAAAUUUGUUAGGACAAUUUAUGAUUUAUACGCAUAUGCUCAUAUAGUUGUUUGAUAAAUAUUGCAUGCUUUGAUUGUUAUUGCAGUUAUUAACUUAAAUUUAACAUUUAAUUAUAUGAAUCAAAAUACAUAUUCAUAGAAUAGUUCACUUUAUUAAUUUAAAUUUUCAUGUCAACUAUUUUUAACUUAUCUAUACUGCACAAAAUAUAUUGUCGAUGAGUCGUUUGCAAGAAAAAUGAUGACCAAGCACAGCUUCCUGAACCUGUUGAGAGGAAACAAUAGCUUUCUUUAGAGAAGGUUCUCAGUGUUUUUUAAAAGAAUAAUCAAUGAAGAUUGCCUACUACUAGAUUUCAUACCAAAAAUUGAUCGUCUGGAUAGGAUGAUAUUACAACUUUAAUCAUGGCAGUUAUCUCAUCUAACAAGUGUGCUGAGCAAAUACAAUUCAUAGAAUAGCGGCAUUCUAUACCUAUGUCUUCAGAGCCUUCAGCAAAAUACAGAUAUC
Long non-coding RNA from Asparagus officinalis (garden asparagus), 747 nucleotides. RefSeq lists it as uncharacterized. The transcript has 3 exons. The record is from RefSeq and is a predicted model, not a curated record. NCBI's taxonomy places the organism in Eukaryota, Viridiplantae, Streptophyta, Magnoliopsida, Asparagales, Asparagaceae.